This 3273-nucleotide long non-coding RNA is filed under the name Equus caballus (horse). RNAcentral describes it as "lncRNA (ENSECAG00000049978.1)". Lineage: Eukaryota; Metazoa; Chordata; Mammalia; Perissodactyla; Equidae. The record is from RNAcentral.
CAUAUAUGGCUGUGCUUCCCCUGGGUGGAGCUGAGAGUAAGGGCUCUGGGAGGUAAGAGAGAGGGGCAUGUUGUCAGAGGUCUGGGCCUUUAAGGAAGCCUGGGUCCCAGGAAAGCAAAUUGGAAGAGAGGUUAGUGCAGUCGCUGAUUUAUAGGAAGUACUCAACAAUGAGCAAUAUUCAUUUACUGAGCACUUACUCUGAGCCAGCUUCUCCUCUAAGACUUUCCAGGUAACGACUCACAGAAUUCCCUUAACAACUCUAUGGGGUAGGUGCUACUAUUCUAUUAUUCCCAUUUUACAGAUGACGAAACUAAGGCACAGAGAGGUGAAGUACUUUGUUCAAGGUGGAAUCAACUGCUAAGUGGUGACACUGAUGUCAAAUCCAGGCAGUCUGAGUACAGAGCCAUCAUCUUUAACCAUCACGCCAUAUGGCCUCUCCGUAGGCUGCAAAUGGUAGCCAUUACUAGCUAUUAUCACUCCAAAAUCAUAUCGCAAACUUUAAGCAUAAGUUGGGACUCGUGUGCAUACUACAUUGGCCGUGGCAGGCAGACCCUUAUUCUUCCUGGGCUCCCCAGACCCGUCCCUCCCCUGUCUGCUGGGCUGAGCCCAUCUGCCUCUCAGGUAGCUUAGGCUGGAUGUCUGGCUCUCCAGGAAGUCACUGGCUGGCUGACUCAGGUCUCCUGUCCAUCCGGCUGAGUUUCCAUCAGAGGCGAGGUACCCUCUCUUGAUGUGGCCUGGGGUACUUAAUUACAGGCACUUAAGAUUCUAACCUGGUUUCCCUCUUUCCUCUUGGUUUGUGGUUCCUGUCUUGAUCGCAAAGUCGCUUUCUGUCCUUGGGGCCGUCCCAAGGAGGUUCUUCUAUCACACAUCCCCGCAGCCCACACCCUCUCCCUCCUAGGUCUCUGCAUUCCCUCCGCGAUGUGUUCACACACACGUGUUCUCCCAGGUCCAGAGUGAGAGCCGGGACGUCAGGUUCGGGGAGGAUGAGUGGGGUUCUCAGGGGGCCUGGUCAGCAGAGCCUCGAGGCCCCAGUUGCUCCGAGAGAGUUCUCCAGCAUCAGACGGUUACAUGGACCAAACUGGUGUUGGGCCCCAACCGUGGCUCACCACCCUGACCGGCUUCCUGGGAGGGCAGCUCAUUGUGCAGUGGGGGCUGAGUGGGGCUGGGGAGCAGCUUCAUCUGGGUGGUCCUGGAGCAGCUGUCCCUGGGGCACCCACCCUCACUGGAAGGGAGCCCCUGGAGGCCAGAGCCCACAUCACCUUUUUCACCAGCACAUCCCAGUGUGGAGCACAUCGCAGGGUGCCUCAGGCUGGGCUCUGGCCCAGGGAUUCCAGAAGUUCCCAGGGAUGUCACUAGGAUUGCCACUCAGUCAUUCUCUCACCCUCUCUCUGUUCUGCUUCCAUCUGUGAGGCAGCUUGUGUCCACUCUCUGGCCAAGGGGGCAGGUCCCAGGAUCGGCCGGCCCACUAGACCCGUGUGUUGUGGAGAAGGGUCACUUCAGCCUAGGAAGGGAUGCUGUGACUAGAGGAAGAGACCCAGGGCUGCUGAGGAGACAAAUACAACGGAUGUCACUACAAGCUCGCUCCCCAUGCCGGGGGCUUUACAUAUUUUAAUUUAUUUAACCCUCAUUACAAUCUGUGUGCUAGAGGUUAUCAUGCCCAUUUAUAAAUGAGGAAAUUGAGGCACAGAGGCAUUUAUCUAAGUUCACAUAACUUGAAGUGGCUCUGCUGAGAUUCAAACCCAGGUCCCCCUCAUUCUGAAACUCCAGGCUGCCUGGAGCUUCUCGGACAGACGCCCUGGGGCAGCAUAUUGACCAUGACUCCCCUUAAGCCCCCAAGUCCUCUAGGCAGUUCUGAGGGCAGAGAAUGGAGGCCAAUGGGCACCCGGCAGGAGGGAGGCCAGGUCUCACCAGGGCCAGGGGCAGGGCUGGAGGGAAUCAGUGGUUCGAUGAUGCUCAGGGCCUCGGAGCAGGCAAUGGUGGGUCGCUGCCCUUCCAGGCCCUGCACGGCCCUUGGGGCUGUUAGCCCGGGGAAUGGGCACCUCCCCUGGGUCCCUGGCAGGAAGCGAGCAGUGCCUGAGGCAGGAGGCAGGCAGGCAUGGCGCGGUCCCUGCCCAUCUGGGGAGUGCUCGGUGGCUGGCUGGAACUGAGCAGUGGACGGCGUUUGGACUCGGCAGCGGGAGCCCAGCUCGGAGGCUGCGAGGCAGAGCCGUGAACGCCAACAGUCUGGAGACAGGCUCCGGAGGGAGGUAGGCUUGGGCCCAUGUGCCGAGCUCGGCUCCCACGACUGCUCAGCAGACAGAUGGACCUGGGGAGCCUCGCUGCCUGGCCAGGAGGGUGUACACAAGAAUGGGAAUGUAGGCGCCCCCGUGGGGAGGCAUGGCUCCCGGAGACGGCCGGUGUGGUGAGACAAGGGCUGAUGCUGUGGCCUGGGCUGGCUUGUUAGAUGGCUGUGCAGGGCUCCACAGUUAGACUGACCUCUGGACCUUGGCUGUGUACGGCCCUGAUCCUGAUUCCAGGCUUUUCCUUGAUUCCAGCCUCACACUGAAUCCUGAUCCAGAACCCAGACUGAGCCCUGAUCCCAGGCCCUCACGGAGCCCUGAUCAUUUCAAAUGCCUUCUGAUCAAAAUCCUGCUCUCAGAAAGGAGGCCAGAGCCAACUGCCCAGGACAGUCCCCGGGAAGGAUGGGGUCCUGCCAAAACUGACCGUCUCUGGAAGGCAGAGGGGAGCAGAGCAGCAAGGACCAAGAGCACUGUGGAGUCUGGGGGUGGCAGCCUGACCAGGAUCAGGAGAGUUACCAGGAUGGUAGACCAGAGGGCACUUUCUCCAGGGCAGGUCCAAAACUCAGGCCUAGGGACAGAGCCUGAGUGCAUGGGCCCACAGGGCCGGGGGCGGCAGGAGGCACAGGUGGCUUCGCCGAGAAGCAGCAAAGGCAGGGUUUCUUGAGCCAGAGCUGGGCGGGGACAUCAAUGUUGGGGCAGUUUGACUGAUAGGUAGAACUGGGCCUGGAGAGGAACUCUCCACCUAGGCCCAGAGUCACCCUGGGCUUAGAAACUAGUGGAGCCCAAGUAAGACAGGCAGGCAGCGGCCGGGUGACAAGGUCGAGGCAGCCCAUGAGGGCCCUUCCUGUUCUUAAUACUCCAGUGUCACCUCACCUAGUCCCCGUCACGGCUCGGUGAGAUAUGGGGGCAGAUGCCCUAGAAGCCUGGGUCCCCAGUCUCCCCUCAGUCUUGACUCUGCCUAAGGGGUUCCUUUGGCCGCAGGAGUGUGCCGCCG